CCUGCUCAGAUUGAACGCUGGCGGCAGGCCUAACACAUGCAAGUCGAGCGGAAACGAGUUAUCUGAACCUUCGGGGAACGAUAACGGCGUCGAGCGGCGGACGGGUGAGUAAUGCCUAGGAAAUUGCCCUGAUGUGGGGGAUAACCAUUGGAAACGAUGGCUAAUACCGCAUGAUGCCUACGGGCCAAAGAGGGGGACCUUCGGGCCUCUCGCGUCAGGAUAUGCCUAGGUGGGAUUAGCUAGUUGGUGAGGUAAGGGCUCACCAAGGCGACGAUCCCUAGCUGGUCUGAGAGGAUGAUCAGCCACACUGGAACUGAGACACGGUCCAGACUCCUACGGGAGGCAGCAGUGGGGAAUAUUGCACAAUGGGCGCAAGCCUGAUGCAGCCAUGCCGCGUGUGUGAAGAAGGCCUUCGGGUUGUAAAGCACUUUCAGUCGUGAGGAAGGUAGUGUAGUUAAUAGCUGCAUUAUUUGACGUUAGCGACAGAAGAAGCACCGGCUAACUCCGUGCCAGCAGCCGCGGUAAUACGGAGGGUGCGAGCGUUAAUCGGAAUUACUGGGCGUAAAGCGCAUGCAGGUGGUUUGUUAAGUCAGAUGUGAAAGCCCGGGGCUCAACCUCGGAAUAGCAUUUGAAACUGGCAGACUAGAGUACUGUAGAGGGGGGUAGAAUUUCAGGUGUAGCGGUGAAAUGCGUAGAGAUCUGAAGGAAUACCGGUGGCGAAGGCGGCCCCCUGGACAGAUACUGACACUCAGAUGCGAAAGCGUGGGGAGCAAACAGGAUUAGAUACCCUGGUAGUCCACGCCGUAAACGAUGUCUACUUGGAGGUUGUGGCCUUGAGCCGUGGCUUUCGGAGCUAACGCGUUAAGUAGACCGCCUGGGGAGUACGGUCGCAAGAUUAAAACUCAAAUGAAUUGACGGGGGCCCGCACAAGCGGUGGAGCAUGUGGUUUAAUUCGAUGCAACGCGAAGAACCUUACCUACUCUUGACAUCCAGAGAACUUUCCAGAGAUGGAUUGGUGCCUUCGGGAACUCUGAGACAGGUGCUGCAUGGCUGUCGUCAGCUCGUGUUGUGAAAUGUUGGGUUAAGUCCCGCAACGAGCGCAACCCUUAUCCUUGUUUGCCAGCGAGUAAUGUCGGGAACUCCAGGGAGACUGCCGGUGAUAAACCGGAGGAAGGUGGGGACGACGUCAAGUCAUCAUGGCCCUUACGAGUAGGGCUACACACGUGCUACAAUGGCGCAUACAGAGGGCGGCCAACUUGCGAAAGUGAGCGAAUCCCAAAAAGUGCGUCGUAGUCCGGAUUGGAGUCUGCAACUCGACUCCAUGAAGUCGGAAUCGCUAGUAAUCGUGGAUCAGAAUGCCACGGUGAAUACGUUCCCGGGCCUUGUACACACCGCCCGUCACACCAUGGGAGUGGGCUGCAAAAGAAGUAGGUAGUUUAACCUUCGGGGGGACGCUUACCACUUUGUGGUUCAUGACUGGGGUGAAGUCUAAAAGG
Molecule: ribosomal RNA, 1496 nt
Filed under: Vibrio alginolyticus
Lineage: Bacteria; Pseudomonadati; Pseudomonadota; Gammaproteobacteria; Vibrionales; Vibrionaceae
Description: bacterial SSU rRNA
Rfam family: Bacterial small subunit ribosomal RNA
Source: RNAcentral